AAUUCAUCAUCAUCAAAGGAGACGUCGGCGUCUUCUUCAGGCCGUGGAGCGGCGAGCUCCUGAAGGACGGUUUAGACUUCACAGUAUUAACUGGUGGAGGUUGAUGGGCAGAAGUUCAAAGGGAGGGGCUCCAACAAGAAGGAAGCAAAGGCCUACGCCGCCCUGGCCGCUCUGGAGAAGCUGUUCCCCGAAAACGACGGCGCCUCCAGCUUCUACAAAAGCGGCAUGAAGAAGAAGGUCACCUACACCGACAUGCACAUCCCGGGAUUCGGCACCAUCCGGGGAAUUCCCUCAGACUCGGGGUCCCGGGGCUGGGGGCCCAACAGAGGGGGCCGAGGCCGGGGCCGCGGUAAACCGUUCAACCCGGGACCCAACUACAGCAAAACCAACUACAGCUACGAGAGCGGCGCCAGCGCCGGAUACCAUAAACUGUACGACAACACUGCAGUGAAGCAAGAGGACGCUUCCAGCAGCACCAGCGGCUACGGCACCUUCUACCCCGAGAGCAGCUCCACCUUCUCCGCCCCGCCCACCCCAGCCCCCACCAGCAUAAAGACUGAAAGCUACCAGUCCAUGCCGCCUCCCGCGGACCAGCAGAGCCCGUACAGUUACGGCUACGGCGACGAGAAGAAGAAGAUGCUGAUCCAAGGCCCCGGGGAAGGCCAGACAGACUUCUCCAUGUUCAGCACGGCCUACCCCAGCUCUGUGACCGGAGGGCGGGGCUACAGUGGUCACGGUGGGUUAAAGGGCGGCUUGGAGCGGCCGCUGUUGCCUUUUAAGGUUUUAAAGCGCCGUUUGGUCUCCUCGCAGGCUGGGGAGAGCAGCCGUCCUGGGAGGGCCAGCAGGGGUUCACGUACCAAGGCUUCGGAGGUCGCGGCCGGGGCUCGCACUCUGGAUACAACAGCUCCAACUUCUGAUGGCGUCUCCGUCCCGGCGUUGGGACGCGUCGUCUGAAGCACCGAAGCUGCAGCGUCCUGCUGGGUUCGUGGCGCUUCGGUCCACGUCUCACUGCAUCACAUCCGUGUUUCAAGAGUGAACUUCAAGGGUUUCUGUUUUUAAUCUGCUGUAGUGGUUCUGUAGCAGAACGUAACCGGAUCCGACCUGCUCGUCGUUUGGAAGUUUUGUCUCAAUAAAGAUCUUCUCAUCUUUUUAUAAGGAAAAGUCUCUUUUCUGCCGCUUGGCGGCACCAUGUUCUGCAGAUCCCUGGCAUUUACACCCACUCAUGUUUUGUUUUCACACUUCUGUUUGGUCUAGUCUCUACUACCCCCACCUUUUUUUAACUACCCCCCCCCAUUCCAAAGGGGGAGGAGUUUAAAUCUUUAGCAACUCCAAAAAACACGCUUUACAAUACUAACUUUAUUUGUGCGUCGGCUGCUAACGAGCCAAGUUCAGAGCUUUGCACAUAUUGGGGGGUUUCUCGUGGUGGUGGGGGGGCAAUUGGAUGUUCCUGCUCCAGUCGGAGGUUUGAUUCCCAAGCGUUGCCCUCGGCUGUCAAAGAGGAAACGGGAC
This 1509-nucleotide long non-coding RNA is filed under the name Oryzias sinensis (Chinese medaka). Its description in RNAcentral is "lncRNA (ENSOSIG00000009400.1)". The record is from RNAcentral. Lineage: Eukaryota; Metazoa; Chordata; Actinopteri; Beloniformes; Adrianichthyidae.